This is a non-coding RNA of Myotis brandtii (Brandt's bat), 63 nucleotides long. Lineage: Eukaryota; Metazoa; Chordata; Mammalia; Chiroptera; Vespertilionidae. The record is from Rfam.
GGCCUCCCUCUGUGGGGCGAUCGAUCGCGGGGCCCCAGAUUGAUAGCCCUGCAGAGGGAGGCC